UUUUCUUAUUUAUUUAUUUAUUUAUUUUUUACAUUUUAUUUAUCAUUAUCAUUAUUCGAACAAAGUGGUAUUAUUGUGCAUCAUUAGGUCUGAAAACAGACUUAAUACACAACAUGGAAUUAGAACAGAGAAGAAGAGUGAA
Molecule: non-coding RNA, 142 nt
Filed under: Heterosigma akashiwo
Lineage: Eukaryota; Raphidophyceae; Chattonellales; Chattonellaceae
Source: RNAcentral